RNAcentral lists this long non-coding RNA (1428 nucleotides) under Brassica napus (rape). RNAcentral's name for it is "long non-coding RNA (BNAP_LNC019582)". The record is from RNAcentral. Lineage: Eukaryota; Viridiplantae; Streptophyta; Magnoliopsida; Brassicales; Brassicaceae.
UUUUAAGUCCAUGAUCACGAAAUUCUCACAAAAGCAAUAAGAAAAUGCAUUUUACAAAAUGUCAAGUCUACAAAAUGACAUUGAAUACUGAAGAACGAACGGUAUUACCAAACUUUAGACAAAGAUCCGAAAUCAAUUUGGGACAUUCGAAACCCACACAAGGGAGGUUUUAACAAGGAGAAGUAUUACAUAAGACUCGAGUUUUGUUUUAUUGUAAUAUACCAAAAGCACUCAAAAGCAUAUGAUGAGCUCCAUCGGAUUCGAGUCACUAGAGAACCUUUUUAGUACAAUUUUUAGGAAGAACGAUUUGAUACACCUCCUCUCCCUUGGCCACGACCACCAUAUCCAUUAUAGCCGCCGCCACCACCACCGCGUCCAUUAUAGCCGCCAUAGCUACGCCCACCAUAACCACCACGUGAAUGACCGUUCCGACCAUAACCACCACGCCCUCCCCGGCCUCCUCUAAAUCUUGAGAACUCACCAAAUGUCUGGAAUCACACCGUUACCAUUUGUUAAGAGUCAAAUGGGUUUCUCUCAAGAUUCUGGUGAGAUUGAGUAUCUCCAGAAACCAGAACGGAAUAGUUAUGUUUAGUCCGCUUUUUGAGCGUGGACAGAUAUAGAUAGUACCUCAGUAUCUAGUUUCCGUAGUUCUGAGAACCUUGGCCUUGCAUUUUGGGAAUCUCUGUCAUUGACAAGGGAUCAUCAAACUGAUUAGGUCAGACCAGAGGAAAAUCCAGUUUAAAUCAGAGAGUAUGGGAAAUUACAGUUUUUGUGAGGCCUUUACGAGGGGCGAAGCUGGACUUGAACAAAAGAAACCAGUACACAACCACAACUGCGAUUGCUAAACCUAAGAGUCUCGCAAACACGACAAGCGAAUCACUUCCCAUUCUCAUUCAAAGUUGACUAUCUCAUAAUAGUUGCAGACGAAGUGGGUAUUUUGUGGAAUGAACGACAAUCAUGGAUCUAUAUAUAAUGGACCCCUCUAUCUCCUUGUACGGCCCAUUUGUUUUGAGGCUUCUGGCACUGUGCUCAAAGUCAAACUGUUUGACUUUUAAGUCCAUGAUCACGAAAUUCUCACAAAAGCAAUAAGAAAAUGCAUUUUACAAAAUGUCAAGUCUACAAAAUGACAUUGAAUACUGAAGAACGAACGGUAUUACCAAACUUUAGACAAAGAUCCGAAAUCAAUUUGGGACAUUCGAAACCCACACAAGGGAGGUUUUAACAAGGAGAAGUAUUACAUAAGACUCGAGUUUUGUUUUAUUGUAAUAUACCAAAAGCACUCAAAAGCAUAUGAUGAGCUCCAUCGGAUUCGAGUCACUAGAGAACCUUUUUAGUACAAUUUUUAGGAAGAACGAUUUGAUACACCUCCUCUCCCUUGGCCACGACCACCAUAUCCAUUAUAGCCGCCGCCACCACCACCGCGUCCAU